This 1414-nucleotide ribosomal RNA is filed under the name uncultured bacterium. Its description in RNAcentral is "bacterial SSU rRNA". It matches the Rfam family "Bacterial small subunit ribosomal RNA". The record is from RNAcentral.
GGAUGAACGCUGGCGGUAUGCCUAACACAUGCAAGUCGAACGAAAUCUUCGGAUUUAGUGGCGGACGGGUGAGUAACGCGUGAGAAUCUGCCUUCAGGAUGGGGACAACAGUUAGAAAUGACUGCUAAAACCCAAUGUGCCUAAGGGUGAAAUAUUGAUAGCCUGGAGAGGAGCUCGCGUCCGAUUAGUUAGUUGGUGGGGUAAAAGCCUACCAAGGCAGCGAUCGGUAGCUGGUCUGAGAGGAUGAGCAGCCACACUGGGACUGAGACACGGCCCAGACUCCUACGGGAGGCAGCAGUGGGGAAUUUUCCGCAAUGGGCGAAAGCCUGACGGAGCAAUACCGCGUGGGGGAGGAAGACUUUUGGGUCGUAAACCUCUUUUAUUAAGGAAGAAGAAAGUGACGGUACUUAAAGAAUAAGCAUCGGCUAACUCCGUGCCAGCAGCCGCGGUAAUACGGAGGAUGCAAGCGUUAUCCGGAAUCAUUGGGCGUAAAGCGUCCGCAGGUGGUUAUUCAAGUCUGCUGUUAAAGACAGAAGCUCAACUUCUGAAAGGCGGUGGAAACUGAAUAACUAGAGUACGGUAGGGGUUGAGGGAAUUCCCAGUGUAGCGGUGAAAUGCGUAGAUAUUGGGAAGAACACCAGUGGCGAAGGCGCUCAACUGGGCCGUAACUGACACUCAGGGACGAAAGCUAGGGGAGCGAAAGGGAUUAGAUACCCCUGUAGUCCUAGCUGUAAACGAUGAACACUAGGCGUUGCUUGUAUCGACCCGAGCAGUGCUGUAGCCAACGCGUUAAGUGUUCCGCCUGGGGAGUACGCACGCAAGUGUGAAACUCAAAGGAAUUGACGGGGGCCCGCACAAGCGGUGGAGUAUGUGGUUUAAUUCGAUGCAACGCGAAGAACCUUACCAGGACUUGACAUCUCAAGAAUCCUCUGUAAUGGGAGGAGUGCCUUAGGGAACUUGGAGACAGGUGGUGCAUGGCUGUCGUCAGCUCGUGUCGUGAGAUGUUGGGUUAAGUCCCGCAACGAGCGCAACCCUCAUUCUUAGUUGCCAGCAUUAAGUUGGGCACUUUAGGAAGACUGCCGGUGACAAACCGGAGGAAGGUGGGGAUGACGUCAAGUCAGCAUGCCCCUCACGUCCUGGGCUACACACGUACUACAAUGGUUGGGACAAAGGGCAGCAAGCUCGCGAGAGUAAGCGAAUCUCAACAAACCCAGCCUCAGUUCAGAUUGCAGGCUGCAACUCGCCUGCAUGAAGGAGGAAUCGCUAGUAAUCGCAGGUCAGCAUACUGCGGUGAAUUCGUUCCCGGGCCUUGUACACACCGCCCGUCACACCAUGGAAGUUGGCCACGCCCGAAGUCGUUACCCUAACCAUGAAUUUGGAGGGGGAUGCCGAAGGCAGGGCUGGUGACUAGGGU